RNAcentral lists this ribosomal RNA (499 nucleotides) under uncultured bacterium. RNAcentral's name for it is "partial 16S ribosomal RNA". It matches the Rfam family "Bacterial small subunit ribosomal RNA", at positions 28 to 507 of the family's 1533-position model. The record is from RNAcentral.
GAUGAACGCUGGCGGCGUGCCUAAUACAUGCAAGUCGAGCGAACAGACGAGAGUGCUUGCACUCUCUGACGUUAGCGGCGGACGGGUGAGUAACACGUGGGUAACCUACCUAUAAGACUGGGAUAACUUCGGGAAACCGGAGCUAAUACCGGAUAAUAUUUAGCUUCGCAUGAAGCAAUAGUGAAAGACGGUUCUGCUGUCACUUAUAGAUGGACCCGCGGUGUAUUAGCUAGUUGGUGAGGUAACGGCUCACCAAGGCAACGAUACAUAGCCGACCUGAGAGGGUGAGCGGCCACACGUGGACUGAGACACGGACCAGACUCAUACGGGAGGCAGCAGUAGGGAAUCUUCCGAAAUGGACGAAAGUCUGACGGAGCAAUGCAGAGUGAGUGAAGAAGGUUUUCGGAUCGUAAAACUCUGUUGUAAGGGAAGAACAAGUACGUUAGUAACUGAACGUACCUUGACGGGACCUUACCAGAAAGCCACGGCUAACUACGUG